This 492-nucleotide ribosomal RNA is filed under the name uncultured bacterium. Its description in RNAcentral is "partial 16S ribosomal RNA". It matches the Rfam family "Bacterial small subunit ribosomal RNA", at positions 29 to 507 of the family's 1533-position model. The record is from RNAcentral.
AGUGAACGCUGGCGGUAGGCCUAACACAUGCAAGUCGAACGGCAGCACAGUAAGAGCUUGCUCUUACGGGUGGCGAGUGGCGGACGGGUGAGGAAUACAUCGGAAUCUACUUUUUCGUGGGGGAUAACGUAGGGAAACUUACGCUAAUACCGCAUACGACCUACGGGUGAAAGCAGGGGAUCUUCGGACCUUGCGCGAUUGAAUGAGCCGAUGUCGGAUUAGCUAGUUGGUGGGGUAAAGGCCCAACAAGGCGACGAUCCGUAGCUGGUCUGAGAGGAUGAUCAGCCACACUGUCACUGAGACACGGUCCAGACUCCUACGGGUGGCAGCAGUUGGGAAUAUUGGGCCACGGGCGCAAGCCUGGUCCUGCCAUACCUCGUGUGUGGCGAAUGCCUUCGGGUUUUAAAGCCCUUUUGUUGGGAAAGAAAAGCAGCAGGUUAAUACCCCGAUGGUCUUACGGUACCCAAAGAAUAAGCACCGGCUCACUUCGUG